AGCGUCACAGCUUAAUCGCAAAACAGAUCAAAUUACAAAAAUAUUCAUGAGCCCCACUUUAGUACCAAGUAAUUCUAUACCUUUAUAGAACCUUUUAUGUUAAAACUAGUAACAAGAAGAACCCCCUUCUCUUUAAUGCAAGCAUAAAUCAGUCAGGACCAACCACUGAUAAUUAACACCCAUGAGCCCACAGUAGAAACACCACAAGAAAACCCUACUAUACCCUGUGUUAACCUAACACAAGAGCAUUACAAGAAAGAUUAAAAGAAAAAGAAGGAACUCGGCAAACAUUAACCCCGCCUGUUUACCAAAAACAUCGCCUCUUGACAAACUUAUAAGAGGUCCAGCCUGCCCAGUGACUCUGUUCAACGGCCGCGGUAUCCUAACCGUGCGAAGGUAGCGUAAUCACUUGUUCUUUAAAUGAGGACUAGUAUGAAUGGCAUCACGAAGGUUAUACUGUCUCCUUUUUCUAAUCAGUGAAACUAAUCUUCCCGUGAAGAAACGGGAAUAAAAAUAUAAGACGAGAAGACCCUAUGGAGCUUUAAACAAAUAUACACCUGCCUCUUUACCAAAAAUUUCAGAAGACAAGUAAUUACCCGGGCAUUUUGAUAUAGCGUUUUAGGUUGGGGUGACCACGGAGCAAAAAAUAACCUCCGCAGCGAACGGGAGUAUUCCCUAAACCAAGGGCCACAACCCCAAGUAUUGAUAAAUCAACACCAAUUGAC
Molecule: ribosomal RNA, 725 nt
Filed under: Leptodactylus mystaceus (basin white-lipped frog)
Lineage: Eukaryota; Metazoa; Chordata; Amphibia; Anura; Leptodactylidae
Description: partial 12S ribosomal RNA
Rfam family: Bacterial large subunit ribosomal RNA
Source: RNAcentral